GACGAACGCUGGCGGCAUGCCUAAUACAUGCAAGUCGAACGAGCUUCCGUUGAAUGACGUGAUUGCACUGAUUUCAACAAUGAAGCGAGUGGCGAACUGGUGAGUAACACGUGGGAAAUCUGCCCAGAAGCAGGGGAUAACACUUGGAAACAGGUGCUAAUACCGUAUAACACAAAAUCCGCAUGGGUUUUGUUUGAAAGGUGGCUUCGGCUAUCACUUCUGG
RNAcentral lists this ribosomal RNA (223 nucleotides) under uncultured bacterium. Its description in RNAcentral is "partial 16S ribosomal RNA". It matches the Rfam family "Bacterial small subunit ribosomal RNA", at positions 28 to 224 of the family's 1533-position model. The record is from RNAcentral.